GGCUCCAUAGCUCAGUGGUUAGAGCGCUGGUCUAGUAAACCAGAGGUCGCGAGUGAUUCAAUCCUCACUGGAGCCU
Molecule: transfer RNA, 76 nt
Filed under: Astyanax mexicanus (Mexican tetra)
Lineage: Eukaryota; Metazoa; Chordata; Actinopteri; Characiformes; Acestrorhamphidae
Rfam family: tRNA
About the family: Transfer RNA (tRNA) molecules are approximately 80 nucleotides in length. Their secondary structure includes four short double-helical elements and three loops (D, anti-codon, and T loops).
Source: Rfam by way of RNAcentral